GAUGAACGCUGGCCGCGUGCCUAAUACAUGCAAGUCGAGCGAACGGACGAGAAGCUUGCUUUUCUGAUGUUAGCGGCGGACGGGUGAGUAACACGUGGAUAACCUACCUAUAAGACUGGGAUAACUUCGGGAAACCGGAGCUAAUACCGGAUAAUAUUUUGAACCGCAUGGUUCAAAAGUGAAAGACGGUCUUGCUGUCACUUAUAGAUGGAUCCGCGCUGCAUUAGCUAGUUGGUAAGGUAACGGCUUACCAAGGCAACGAUGCAUAGCCGACCUGAGAGGGUGAUCGGCCACACUGGAACUGAGACACGGUCCAGACUCCUACGGGAGGCAGCAGUAGGGAAUCUUCCGCAAUGGGCGAAAGCCUGACGGAGCAACGCCGCGUGAGUGAUGAAGGUCUUCGGAUCGUAAAACUCUGUUAUUAGGGAAGAACAUAUGUGUAAGUAACUGUGCACAUCUUGACGGUACCUAAUCAGAAAGCCACGGCUAACUACGUG
RNAcentral lists this ribosomal RNA (497 nucleotides) under uncultured bacterium. RNAcentral describes it as "partial 16S ribosomal RNA". It matches the Rfam family "Bacterial small subunit ribosomal RNA", at positions 28 to 507 of the family's 1533-position model. The record is from RNAcentral.